Molecule: long non-coding RNA, 1145 nt
Filed under: Varroa destructor (honeybee mite)
Lineage: Eukaryota; Metazoa; Arthropoda; Arachnida; Mesostigmata; Varroidae
Description: uncharacterized LOC111254720, transcript variant X2
Source: RNAcentral
CAUAAUAUAUUUUAAAAAUAAAAAAAAAAUUUAGAGCAAGGAAUUUUUAUGACGGUAAAACCCUAAUUUUACCACUAUAUUCUAGAAGUAACUUAGUUGUUUUUUAGGUUGUCUCCUAAGCUAAAUAUUUAUUUAUAAUCCACAACUGAGCUUUCUAAAAUUAUCAAGAAAAAUUAUUGAUAUAGUUAUUCCAUUUCUAUACUUAUUAAUUAUAUACGUGUCUAUUCAUACACAUUGUCCACUUGCACUGAAUAUGUGUUCUGAGAAAUGUAUUUUUAGUGAGAUACGCGCCACCGUCGACAACUUUUUAAAGGGGAUAAGUGCUAUUAUAAUGAACAUAAUGCAAUGAGGACAACGAAACUCACUAAAUAUAGUCGACAGUCUUACAAGUGGCCUACUGCGAUUACGGCAAAAGUGCUCUGAAUUAGACUAAUUUGUGGAUAAAUAGUGUUCUGUGUAUCUAUUAGCAAUCGCUUCGUUCUAUGCUAAAGGAAGUUAGAAACAGAAGGCGUGUGCAUUUACCAUCUUAUAGAAAAUGUGAAUAAGCUAAUAUAUUUCUCGGAAAAGCAGUGCUACCCUGGCAAAGUGCUCCGAAGCCUCCUACAUGAAUAGCCGUUACAAAACUACAUAAUCGAAUUUUGUAUGGAUUGUUGCAUUGAACCUGCGCCCUCAAUGGUCCGCCUGCUUUUCUGAGUCAAAUGGUUUGAUGCUAUCAAAAGCUUCCUCGCAGCUUGCCUUGCCUAACAUGGUGAUACUAUUUGUGUUAUCUACUUGUGUUUUGUUUCUUUCGCUUCCUUUUUCUUCCUAUCUGUUUUUCAUGGUGGUCGGGCUGGGGUGGCCUUGUGCCUCUUUUUUGUAGUAGAGCCCCUCGGUCGUCCCCUUUUCGGUCUAACGCAGAAGAUUAACACGUGCAGAGUGCCCGCACGAUCCUCGUCCGAGUGACAACACCUGUGUGUCUGUAUACGGCCGACUAGUCAUCACUUGUGAAAUCCGAAGAUCAUCGUCAACAUUUAUAAUGCUUGAGAUAAUGAAAAUACAUCAAAAAAUUAUUACCUCCAAUAAUGGAGCUGUUACCGGCGAUGAAUCUGGCGCUUGUCCGGUCCCAGCGCCAGUUCCAUUCCGUUGGCCGCCGCCCUCAAACGCCU